UGCACCACACGCACCACACCACACACACACACAUACACACACACGAGCAGAGCAAGGGACAGCCAUGUUGUGUGAUCUGGGAGGGUGGCUCAUCCUCUCUGAGUUGUUUAUAAACCGGGCGGGACCCAGGCCUGCCAAUCAAAGGCCUGAUCUGAAUGCUCUUAUUGGUUCAGAGAUGGACAUGUGACCCUCUCUUGGCCAAUCAGAGGCUUUCCUGCUGGAAGGGCUGCUGGAAGCCAUCUUCGCACGGUUCUUCCCUUGGCUUUAGAGCCCCGAAGCGCUCUUUGACUUGAGCUGCUUUGCAUUCUCUCUGUCCUGCCAUCGAGAAAGUUCUGAGCGGCUCAGAAGUAAUACUGACACUAUCAACGGAGGGGGACUGCAGUUUCGCUGGUGGCCCCACAGCCCCCUGCCUCCAGCCAGGGGACAAAGAACAGGAGGGAUCCAGAGGGCUGCCUGCACCUGCACCUCCCGCUCCUGCUGUGCCCUGAUCCCAUGUGCUGGGUGAACUGGGUUCUUCCGAGCCCUCCAGCCCUGGAUGCUAACCCCAGAGCUGCAAGGUGAGGGGCACCUACGCCGGCAGCCAUUCCCCAUGGGAGGGGCAGUGCUGGAGGUGCCCUGGGUGACCAGGACGGGCCGCCGCCCCUCUGCUGGCCUUAGUGCCCUUGUCUGUGAAAUGGGGCGAGCAGUUCCUCUCUCAGAGCUGCUGCGAGGACUGAGUCUCUCUGAGCUCAGGAUUUUCCUCUCUCUGAGCUCCAAAACCACGGGCAAAUCACACCCUCUCACUCUCAGCUUCCUGAUCUACAAGACAGGGAUGGUGAUAGAGUACUCAACUCCUAGGGCAGUUGUGGGGCAUGUGAAGCAUUCAGCCCAGGGUCUGGCACCCUGAAAGGGCCAAACCUGUGUGAGCCACAGUUUUAUGGUUGAUCAUCAAUGCCUGUCUAAGAAAGCCCCAUUCAGCUUGAACCCAGCUCUCCAGGAAGAGCUCACUGACACCCUCCUCACACACCCCAAUCGGCCGUCUUUAUUCAUCCCCAAAAGUGAUGUACAAGGAAUGAGUCUUUGGGGGUGUGUCCGUCAUCACCCACUGGGGCUGCUUGUGUCUCCAGCUAUCCCUCCGAGGAAUUCUGCCCCAGACAGCAGAGAGAUGGGGGGCAGGGGACACAUGGCCAUGAGGACAGAGAGCCCUGAGAGGGACUGGGGAAUCGAGACAUCGUUUUCAAAUAAUUGCAGCAAUCAAGAGAGACUGUACAUCCCAUCCCAGACAAAGGGAGACCUAAAAUGAGAGAAUGGAGCUGGGCGCAGUGGUUCACGCCUG
This 1315-nucleotide long non-coding RNA is filed under the name Homo sapiens (human). RNAcentral's name for it is "HSALNT0354857". The record is from RNAcentral. Lineage: Eukaryota; Metazoa; Chordata; Mammalia; Primates; Hominidae.